RNAcentral lists this ribosomal RNA (370 nucleotides) under Pandoraea sp. 166R. RNAcentral describes it as "bacterial SSU rRNA". It matches the Rfam family "Bacterial small subunit ribosomal RNA", at positions 971 to 1345 of the family's 1533-position model. Lineage: Bacteria; Pseudomonadati; Pseudomonadota; Betaproteobacteria; Burkholderiales; Burkholderiaceae. The record is from RNAcentral.
UUACCUACCCUUGACAUGUACGGAAGUCCGCUGAGAGGUGGAUGUGCUCGAAAGAGAACCGUAACACAGGUGCUGCAUGGCUGUCGUCAGCUCGUGUCGUGAGAUGUUGGGUUAAGUCCCGCAACGAGCGCAACCCUUGUCCUUAGUUGCUACGCAAGAGCACUCUAAGGAGACUGCCGGUGACAAACCGGAGGAAGGUGGGGAUGACGUCAAGUCCUCAUGGCCCUUAUGGGUAGGGCUUCACACGUCAUACAAUGGUCGGUACAGAGGGCUGCCAAACCGCGAGGUGGAGCUAACCCCAGAAAUCCGAUCGUAGUCCGGAUCGCAGUCUGCAACUCGACUGCGUGAAGCUGGAAUCGCUAGUAAUCGC